This 294-nucleotide ribosomal RNA is filed under the name uncultured bacterium. RNAcentral's name for it is "partial 16S ribosomal RNA". It matches the Rfam family "Bacterial small subunit ribosomal RNA", at positions 775 to 1067 of the family's 1533-position model. The record is from RNAcentral.
GGAUUAGAUACCCUGGUAGUCCACGCCGUAAACGGUGAGAGCUCGUCGUAGUGGGUAUUGACCCCUGCUGUGACCAAGUUAACGCAUGAAGCUCUCCGCCUGGGAAGUACGGUCGCAAGACUAAAACUCAAAGAAAUUGACGGGGGCCCGCACAAGCGGUGGAGCAUGUUGUUUAAUUCGAAGCAACGCGCAGAACCUUACCUGGAUUUGACAUCCUCGGAACCUUCCUGAAAGGGAAGGGUGCCUUCGGGAGCCGAGAGACAGGUGCUGCAUGGCUGUCGUCAGCUCGUGCCG